UCAUUGAUUUUGAUUGUUUCUUAUUCAAAUGAGAGCCAAACUAGGUUUGUAUGGAGUGAGUGACG
Maniola jurtina (meadow brown) is the source of this 65-nucleotide long non-coding RNA. RefSeq lists it as uncharacterized. NCBI's taxonomy places the organism in Eukaryota, Metazoa, Arthropoda, Insecta, Lepidoptera, Nymphalidae. The transcript is spliced from 3 exons. The record is from RefSeq and is a predicted model, not a curated record.